AUUGAACGCUGGCGGCAUGCCUUACACAUGCAAGUCGAGCGGUAAGGCCCUUUCGGGGGGUACACGAGCGGCGAACGGGUGAGUAACACGUGGGUGACCUGCCCUCAGCUCUGGGAUAAGCCCGGGAAACUGGGUCUAAUACUGGAUAUGGCUCCACAGUGCAUGCCGUGGGGUGGAAAGCCUUGUGCGGCUGAGGAUGGGCCCGCGGCCUAUCAGCUUGUUGGUGGGGNGAUGGCCUACCAAGGCGACGACGGGUAGCCGGCCUGAGAGGGCGACCGGCCACACUGGGACUGAGACACGGCCCAGACUCCUACGGGAGGCAGCAGUGGGGAAUCUUGCGCAAUGGGCGAAAGCCUGACGCAGCGACGCCGCGUGAGGGAUGACGGCCU
Molecule: ribosomal RNA, 389 nt
Filed under: uncultured bacterium
Lineage: Bacteria
Description: bacterial SSU rRNA
Rfam family: Bacterial small subunit ribosomal RNA
Source: RNAcentral